CCCUCCCUCCAGACGGCGGCGUCCCGGGGGAGGGCGAGCGCCGAGGUUCCCGAGUGGCUACGGCCGGGUCCCAGUCCUGCGGGGGCCAAAGGGAAGCCCGGCGGGCGGGGGGCCGGGACCCUGACACUCCCCUGCGGACUGACCCGGUAGACGAAAAGGUAACAGCCGCCCAGGCACCCGCCCGCCCUGGCCAGGGCCGCUUCUGCCAUGCGGGCUCCCCUUGGCGUGUUGGUUCCGAAAUUCGGCCGGAGCGCGUGGCUCCUUCGCCGGGACCCGGGGGGAAGCGGCCACUGCGGCGAAGCCCGCCGCCUGCUCGACGUGCUGGCACCCCCUGACGCGAGAAUCGCUGCCUUCUCUCUGCGGGGGAACGUGCCUACUCGCCACGGACCCUUCCCACCCUCUUGAGUCAGCUGUGACUAAGAGGUGCACAGCCUACGAAUUCACCUGUUCUGCACAUUAGUUAAUGCUCAUCAAGCUGCACAGAAUGGAACUUCUUUUUUUCAUGGACUCCUGAUAGUGACGCCAUGCCCCUGGACCUCAUCAUCCAUCUGCUGCCAUCUGUUGGAGUAACGGGCUGUAGGUGGAGCUCUAAGGAAAAAAGCAAAUUCACUGGAAUUUUAGAAUUCGGGACUUGAGAGGACUUGGAUUUUGUGAGCCCCAGAAUUUCACUGAUGCGAUUGUCUCAGCAUUCGUAAGCUAAUUUUGUUUUUCUUUAUUCAGAUGACCACAUAUUUAGCAGUCGUUUAGGUGCUAGAGUGCCUGCCAGGCCGCUUGUGGGGUGUCCUGUGACCCUGAGGAGCAAAGUGGGCAAGGACAGAGGGGGUGGGGCUGGGGGCUGGCCCCGGAGGUGCUUCCGUGCAGUUUCACGGAUGGAAAGGCCUCAUGGAGGUGGAGUUCAAGAUGUUGUACUUUGUGCUUCUGAGGGAAGAAGGAAAGGAGGGGGGUUUGGGGCCUGGGGAACAAGGCAUGCUGCUUCCUUACUCUCCUGGCUUAGGGAAGGCAGCCACCUUCCUGGUGAAGGAAAGGGGAGUGUUUACAGCAGCACUUGGUGGAUCCAGGCCAGAUAGCAGGGGUGUGUGUGUGUGUGUGUGUGUGUGUGUAUGUGUGGUCUCCCCCCCAUCCCCUCUCCUACACAUUUGGGUGCCACAUAAUCAUCACAAUCAUGAUUAACAUAACAGUAGCUAGCCUAAUCGAGGGCUUUCUGCAGGUCAGAUAAUAUGAAAAAUGCUUUACCCCUGAACCCAUUUGACCCUUACGCUAAUAACUCUUGGCAGUAAGUACUACUAUGAUUUCUAUUUUAAAAGAUGAAGUAAUGGAGGAGUAGAGUUUUCAAAGGACUGACAAGUGAUACAGCCAGAUUUAUGCUCAGGUCCGUCUGGUGGUGGCACCCAUGGGCUUCACCGCCAUACCACACUGCCCAGAGCAGAGGGUGAGGAGUCCCGCUAAGAAGCGGCAGGGCCGCCCCAGCACUGUGGGCAGGGAAGUCAGCGUUGCACCUGCGAAACCAGCCUGGGGAAGCGUCCCCUAGGAGCCAAGAGAUGCCGUCUACAAGCUGCUACUGUCUGCAUUUCACCCACGGUGGGAGGGAAAGGUGUCGUGACUGGGGUAACCAGAAGCGAAGAUCUACAUAUGAUUGUGGCAGAAGCAGGGAGCAUGUUGACGUCUGGGUCAGGAAAAAUCUAAGGGUCACCCAGGGCCCCUGUUGGAGACCAAAGAGUUUAACAUGCUUGAAAGCCCUUUGAGUUUCAUCAGCUAGGAAGCUCGCAUAUGCAUGUUAUUUAUUAGCAUUAUUCAGAAGGGUUCAUUGGAGCAGGCACCCUGCCUUCUUGCUGUGUCACACUUCGGUCACUCUCCGGAGACGUAGCUGCACUCUGGUGGAGGCUCAGAUGACCAGGCUUCACUCUCCUGGUGGGCCUCCUCACGUCCCAUGGCAGCUCUGUCCUGUUGGUCAUCACCACACUGGCCUCACCCACCCACUAGCAGAAAGCCAUAUAGCUUAAAAGCAGGUCAAUUGAUUUUUAAGUUUCAUUAAUUUUUGGUUCUGUUACAGUAAUAUUCUGAUAGCUCAUUCAUGCUCAUGCCCUCCCCCUGCCCUGUAGCCCAGACAUUUAUAUGGGGGAUAAAGGCCCAGAGAAAGAGAAGAAGAGGACAUUUGUCAUACUCUUGCCAGUAAGAAGUUUGUAAUCUGAAAGGAGAGACCAGACACAAAAAAUGUACUGUCUAAUCAGUGCUCUGAUAAGGUGUGUAAAGUCCCAAAAUGUGUAGCACAGACAAUGGGAAUGUGAGGGUAGAUAACAAGGCACAUAAUGUGUCUAAAUGCACCAUAUUCGGAAGUCAGCAUCGGGAAGACCACGGUGAAAAGGC
Molecule: long non-coding RNA, 2364 nt
Organism: Mustela lutreola (European mink)
Lineage: Eukaryota; Metazoa; Chordata; Mammalia; Carnivora; Mustelidae
Exons: 4
Source: RefSeq, a predicted model, not a curated record